GAAGUAUGGAGGUCUGUAAGAAGACUAGUAAUGAUUUUCUUAAUCUUGUUUUGGUUACUUUUCGUUUAUAGGGUAUUAUGGAUGAAUCAAUGAUUCUCACAAUGCUGGGCAGAUGUCUGUAGAUAGUAGAGUAGGUUGUGACGGCUAACUAGCAGUGAUUCUUUAGCAAUUACAUGGAAAUACAGACGUAAGAUGUGGUGUUUACAUGUCUUAAAUUGGGAUUGCUUUGGGUCAGAUGGAUUCAACAACAAUGCAGACCAUGAUGAUGACGGGACUGUUCUGCAUUGUUAGAUUAACAAUCAGACGGUCUUGAUGAGUUGACUUAAGAAUGCCCAUGGAAGGUAGAUUUGAAACUUCAAUUCCAAGCAACCUUCAAAGGACAUUAGCAACUACAUGGUGCAACGACAGAUGUGUCCGGAUAUCUUUGAAUGAUGCAGGAACAGAUGUACCAUGGUGCAACAACAUGGAUUGUCUCAAGCGACUUGGUGGUCGUAUUACUGGGACGUCUUUGAAUGCUGUAGGGAAUAUAAUGAUUUCAUUUUGCUCUUUUUGUUUGGCUCUUGAUAAUUAUGCAAUCUCGUAUUUGUCCUUUGGAUCUGAACUGGUUCUAUAUUUGUGUGAUUAAAUUUUCCGACCAAAUAUGCGAUCGAUCUUUCAUGGGCUCCGACGGAAUAUUUAGCGCCAUGGAUUCUUUCAUUGUUAUGCCAAUGUGUUUCUGUGCUUUUUCAUAUUUUCAAUUCAUCUUAAAAACCAACUUGUGAGUCUAUACAUUCUAAGUAAACAAUUACACGUUGAUCAGGAAGUAACUCCAUAACAACAAGAAAUCAAAGAAACAUCUUCUAUAUAAACUAAAACAGAAAUUACAA
This 866-nucleotide long non-coding RNA is filed under the name Malus domestica (apple). Its description in RNAcentral is "long non-coding RNA (MDOM_LNC010006)". The record is from RNAcentral. Lineage: Eukaryota; Viridiplantae; Streptophyta; Magnoliopsida; Rosales; Rosaceae.